GAAUUGCGAUAUGUAAUGUGAAUUGCAGAAUUCAGUGAAUCAUCGAAUCUUUGAACGCACCUUGAGCCCUUUGGUAUUCCGAAGGGCAUGCCUGUUUGAGUGUUAUUAAUACCUCACUCUUGAAGUCUUUUAUUAGGUUUCAAGAUGUGGACUUUGGAGGCUUUUGCAGGCUAUCACUAGUCAGCUCCUCUUAAAUGUAUUAGCGGAACUCUAUGCAGUACCGGCUUCAGUUUGAUAAUCCUAUCUAUGCUGUCGCUGUGAACUGUGCUGUUUGGCUUAUAAUUGUCUUCGGACUGCCGUUUUGGCAUAAUUUAAACUUAACCUCAAAUCAGGUAGGACUACCCGCUGAACUUAA
RNAcentral lists this unclassified non-coding RNA (355 nucleotides) under uncultured fungus. RNAcentral describes it as "sequence contains ITS1". The stretch from base 1 to 105 matches the Rfam family "5.8S ribosomal RNA", at positions 50 to 154 of the family's 154-position model. The record is from RNAcentral. Lineage: Eukaryota; Fungi.